UGCGUAGGCGGUUUAUUAAGUCAGUGGUGAAAGACGGUCGCUCAACGAUUGCAGUGCCAUUGAUACUGGUAGACUUGAGUGUGAUUGAGGUAGCUGGAAUGGAUAGUGUAGCGGUGAAAUGCAUAGAUAUUAUCCAGAACACCGAUUGCGUAGGCAGGUUACUAAUACGAUACUGACGCUGAUGCACGAAAGUGUGGGGAUCAAACAGGAUUAGAUACCCCCGUA
RNAcentral lists this ribosomal RNA (225 nucleotides) under uncultured Flectobacillus sp. RNAcentral's name for it is "partial 16S ribosomal RNA". It matches the Rfam family "Bacterial small subunit ribosomal RNA", at positions 568 to 792 of the family's 1533-position model. The record is from RNAcentral. Lineage: Bacteria; Pseudomonadati; Bacteroidota; Cytophagia; Cytophagales; Flectobacillaceae.